RNAcentral lists this ribosomal RNA (601 nucleotides) under Hanseniaspora uvarum. RNAcentral's name for it is "eukaryotic LSU rRNA". It matches the Rfam family "Eukaryotic large subunit ribosomal RNA", at positions 44 to 659 of the family's 3401-position model. Lineage: Eukaryota; Fungi; Ascomycota; Saccharomycetes; Saccharomycodales; Saccharomycodaceae. The record is from RNAcentral.
UCCAAAGCGGAGGAAAAGAAACCAACUGGGAUUACCUUAGUAACGGCGAGUGAAGCGGUAAAAGCUCAAAUUUGAAAUCUGGUACUUUCAGUGCCCGAGUUGUAAUUUGUAGAAUUUGUCUUUGAUUAGGUCCUUGUCUAUGUUCCUUGGAACAGGACGUCAUAGAGGGUGAGAAUCCCGUUUGGCGAGGAUACCUUUUCUCUGUAAGACUUUUUCGAAGAGUCGAGUUGUUUGGGAAUGCAGCUCAAAGUGGGUGGUAAAUUCCAUCUAAAGCUAAAUAUUGGCGAGAGACCGAUAGCGAACAAGUACAGUGAUGGAAAGAUGAAAAGAACUUUGAAAAGAGAGUGAAAAAGUACGUGAAAUUGUUGAAAGGGAAGGGCAUUUGAUCAGACAUGGUGUUUUUUGCAUGCACUCGCCUCUCGUGGGCUUGGGCCUCUCAAAAAUUUCACUGGGCCAACAUCAAUUCUGGCAGCAGGAUAAAUCAUUAAGAAUGUAGCUACUUCGGUAGUGUUAUAGCUUUUUGGAAUACUGUUAGCCGGGAUUGAGGACUGCGCUUCGGCAAGGAUGUUGGCAUAAUGGUUAAAUGCCGCCCGUCUUGAAC